Molecule: ribosomal RNA, 316 nt
Filed under: uncultured bacterium
Lineage: Bacteria
Description: bacterial SSU rRNA
Rfam family: Bacterial small subunit ribosomal RNA
Source: RNAcentral
GACGAACGCUGGCGGCAUGCCUAAUACAUGCAAGUCGAGCGGAAUGACGAGAGCUUGCUCUCUGAUUUUAGCGGCGGACGGGUGAGUAACACGUGGGCAACCUGCCCUACAGAUGGGGAUAACUCCGGGAAACCGGGGCUAAUACCGAAUAAUCAGUUUGUCCGCAUGGACAAACUCUGAAAGACGGUUUCGGCUGUCACUGUAGGAUGGGCCCGCGGCGCAUUAGCUAGUUGGUGGGGUAAUGGCCUACCAAGACGAUGAUACGUAGCCGACCUGAGAGGGUGAUCGGCCACAUUGGGACUGAGACACGGCCCAA